CUCAUACUCCCUCCAUUCCAAAUUACUCUUCAUAGAAAUGGAUGUAUCUAGAACUAAAAUACAUCUAGAUACAUCCAUACCUGCGACAAAUAAUUCGGGAUGGAGGGAGUACAUG
Molecule: non-coding RNA, 115 nt
Organism: Triticum aestivum (bread wheat)
Lineage: Eukaryota; Viridiplantae; Streptophyta; Magnoliopsida; Poales; Poaceae
Source: Rfam